CGUAUAUUAAAGUUGUUGCAGUUAAAAAGCUCGUAGUUGGAUUUGUGGUGGUGCCUGCGGUCCAAAAUGUUUUGGUGCUGUCGGGCACUGUCAUCCUUGGGUGGAANCUGUGGGGCAUUAGGUUGUUUUGCAGGGGAUGCCCAUCGUUUACUGUGAAAAAAUUAGAGUGUUCAAAGCAGGCUUACGCCGUUGAAUAUAUUAGCAUGGAAUAAUAAGAUAGGACUCUGGUGCUAUUUUGUUGGUUUGCGCACCGAAGUAAUGAUUAAUAGGGACAGUUGGGGG
RNAcentral lists this ribosomal RNA (282 nucleotides) under uncultured diatom. RNAcentral describes it as "partial 18S ribosomal RNA". It matches the Rfam family "Eukaryotic small subunit ribosomal RNA", at positions 598 to 888 of the family's 1831-position model. Lineage: Eukaryota; Bacillariophyta. The record is from RNAcentral.